UAAACUCAUAAACAAUACGCCAAAUAAAAAGAUUUUUGUCUCAGGCCAACCAAAUAAAUAUAUCACAUCCAAAUAAAACUUAUAAAUUAUUUUCUGCUUCCUCAAUUGUCUUGUCUCCCACAAGGACGUUGUUGAUAUCAUCAACAAUGUUCUUAAGAAGUUUAUUUGUAUUCACUUCUUCAUCUCAUUUCUUAUGUUCAUCUUCUAGUGUAAUUUUUUCUUGUUCUUUUUCUUCUUUUGCAUUCUCUGUUUCUAGUGCAUUUUUUCUUUCUUGUUCUUAUUCUUUUUCAUCUUCAUCUUCUGGUGUCUUUUUCUCUUCAUUUUCUUGUUCUUAUUUAUAUUCUUCUUCUAAUGGUGCCUUAGUUUGUUCUUCUUCUUUUCUCUCUUCUUUUGUUGCUAGCGCCUUCUUUCUUUCUUUCUUCUUCUUUCUCUACUUCUAUUGCUGAUGCUUUCUUUCUUUCUUCAUCUUUAUUUUCUUCCUUUGAUAUUGUCUUUUCUUUCAAUUUCUCUAUAGUAUUUUUGUUUUUUUCCUUUCUUGCUUUCUUUCCAUCUUCUUUUUUAUUUUCUUCUUCUUUCUUUCCUUUCUACUGGUUGUCCUUCUAUACAUCAAUUGGUUCAUCGAGGAACAUCACCUCAUCAGUAUUGAUGGAGGCCUCUUCAAUAGUUGCUGCCUUAAUGAGCACUUUUUUAUACUGCCUUGAUUGCUGACAACCCUUACUGAUGAAUGCUCACUAAAGAGCUACACACCUGUAUUUUCAAGUAUUUAAGGUUUAUAAUAAACUAUUGUAUCUGCCAUAAAAGCUGGUAUAGAUUCUAUUAUAAUAAAAAAAGAUUAUAUAAAAUAUAUAACUUUUGUGAUAAAUAGAUAAGAUAUUACCUUGAUUUUCUUCUUAUCCUUUUCUGUCCUCCUUAAUCUCUCUUAUUUGAUGAAGGAAAUCAUAUCCUUCAUUUCCUUCUCCGAUCUAAACACAUGCUCUUUUAGAUUUUUGGCUACCAAUCUCUUUCCUACUACUCUUCAUCUGCUUGUCCCUAUACAAUGACAUGUCAUGACAUAAACCAUCCUCGACAUCCACUGAUGAGGUGAUCACAGUCAUACCAUGCAAAUAGGCCUUCAAGACUCCGAUGAAUUGGCCAUUCA
Molecule: long non-coding RNA, 1138 nt
Filed under: Capsicum annuum
Lineage: Eukaryota; Viridiplantae; Streptophyta; Magnoliopsida; Solanales; Solanaceae
Description: long non-coding RNA (CANN_LNC019259)
Source: RNAcentral